Molecule: long non-coding RNA, 770 nt
Organism: Pezoporus occidentalis (night parrot)
Lineage: Eukaryota; Metazoa; Chordata; Aves; Psittaciformes; Psittacidae
Exons: 2
Source: RefSeq, a predicted model, not a curated record
UGCAGAAGAGUUAGCUGUCCCAAAAGGCAAGGGGGAUCCAAUUUCAAGUGCCUGCUGACCCACGGCUGGAGAUCACUGUAAACUGCUCCAAAUACUCCGUAACAUUUUUAUUUCUUUCUCCUUUUCUGUGGAAGGAGUUGUAGGUCUGUGUGUCAGAACUUUAUUAAUUAAUUAAGGCCAAAUUAAUUAAAGCCAAUUGUAGCCCCAGCAAUUCUGGGUAGGGUUUAGCCAGUAGAGGCAGGGAAACAAAGCAAACAAUGCAGGGGCCGGCCAGGCGUGCUCACCUUUUCGACAGCACAGAAGAAAGGACUUGGCAUCUGGGAAGUGGCUUUUAAAAACGGCCAGGGUGCACUCGCUACAAUGAUCCACCGAAACAACAGCCGUCUAAAAAUAAGAUACGCAUAAAACCACCCCAGCGCUCAGCACGCCGCCGUCCAAUUCCAACAGGAAAGCACGGUCCCCUCCUGCCAGCUGUGGGGGCAGAGGGACGGCGAACAGCGAGUGCAGGGAACGGGCAACGGGGCUGGAAGCGGCGGGGCCCCUCCAGCAUCCCUCACCCGGGCGGCUCCGGCCCGUGCCGGGGUGUCACUGCCGCGGCGGGGGCCGGGACGGGGCAUCCCGGAGGUGGGAGGCGGGAGGAGGAGCCGCUGUGGGUUGGAAAUCUCUCCUUUCCCCGCUACGAAGUGAUGAGAUACAAGUGGGUUGCUGAGAUAUUUACAGAAUAAUAAUAAAUAAAACAAUAAUAAUAAAUCUGGAGCGACUGCAACCGA